Molecule: long non-coding RNA, 3633 nt
Organism: Myotis daubentonii (Daubenton's bat)
Lineage: Eukaryota; Metazoa; Chordata; Mammalia; Chiroptera; Vespertilionidae
Source: RefSeq, a predicted model, not a curated record
UGUGCCCGGGUGCCCGCCUCACGGAAACGCGGGCCUGGGCGCCUCCCAAGUCAGUCUCGGCUUACGAUCCGGUCCGGUGUAACGUGCCGAGGUCGUGCGCCGCCGCACCUGGAAACGGGCAUUUCUUCAGCGCGCACCGUCAAGCGCCUACUGUGUGUGCAAGAAACGCGAGGGCGCCGGGCCCGGGCCAGGGGGCCAGCGCUUGGUGGGCACUUGGAACAGAGCUCCCUAGCUGGAGCCUGUGUACGCUGGGCCAGCUAAUGGAGCCCUCUCGCGUGUAGUGGUUGGAGGACCGUGCGUGCACCUGCUGUGCCCGCUCAUGCUGUGCGCCUCCGAGGAGAAACGCCUGACCCCCGGGAACUGCUGUCCUCCCAAGGGAGAGGACACCAAAGUGAUGAGGACACUAGGAUGCACUAUGAGCUUUGGAUUCCUCUGGCUGUGCGUGUGGAACGAACUCAGGGACCGUGCUGAGGCAGGAGCCCAGGGAGGAGGUGACGGCAGGAGGCCAGCCCAGCGCCUCAUAGUUCCAUGACGGUGCCAAACGCCUGCGUCUCCUCCUCACAGAGCCACGGCCAAGGCAGGAAAAGGCCUUCACGUGUCCUCUGAAGAAUGAAGAAGCUGUUCCCAGAAGUCCCUUGGCAGACUUCCCCAUCGCACUGGCCACAGAUGCAUUCCAGGUCUACGCAGCCUCGGCCAAUCACUGCAAGGGAAGGGAAAGGGCCAUGUUUGACUUGGGCCAAUCCGCAUGUGCCCCGGGUGCCAUGCAGAGUCUGCCCUGGCCCAACAAGAGGGGAUCCAGAUGGGGCCAGUCUGGCCACGAGCUGUGGACCCCGGAACGGGGGGCACGUUGAGCAUCCCUGAGGCUGUGGGUCCCCCACCUGCCCUUCCUCCCUGGAGAGCCUUUGGGUGGUGGCUGUGAGAGGGGAGGUGGGGCCUGGUGAGGGUUUCAAGUAAAUUAGGUGGCCAGACACCUUCACCUCAGUAAAUAUUUAUAGAGCCAGGAAUGGAGAAGAGGUGGGCGGGCCCAGAGGGUGAGAGUGUAGGGAAGAGGCAGCCUGGGCCAGAGAUACCGGGGAGAGGUAGAGAGACAUGAUGGAGAGACACUGAAGGAGAGACAGGCAUUGAGGGAGAGACAGAGACGUGACAGAGACAAAGAGACACACUUCCAGAGUUGGUCUGAGAGACACAGGGCGAGAGAGAGGCGGGGAGAGAGACAGAGGGAGCCGCGUUGCCAGGAAGGCGUAGGCACCGGUGCCUUGAGCCAUCAGAGGCCUGUGGUGGUGGGAGCAAUGAUGUUGUGGGUGUCCUGUGUCCAGCCUGCGCCCUGCUGUCCUCCUCAGCCAGGUGAGGUAAAGGGUCCUCUUUCUCAGGACUGUCCUGAGGCCCCUAACUUACUGGGAUUCUCAUUGGCCCAGUAUCUUCUUUUGGCCUGUAAAGGGCCAGAGAGGUGAUGGGAAUCGACACCCCAGAGGACAGGGCGACUUGCCCAGGGCCUCGCCGGGAAGGCAGGAGGGAUGUGGGCUCUGGGGGGUGCGAUUCUAAAUCCCGUGUCCUGUCUGUGCCCCACAGGGCUGGGUGGGGCAGGGAGGCGGGUGUCUUACUCUGGCCAGUAACAACAGCUCUGGGAAUAAUAAUAAAAUGGCCACUGUGUUCCGAGUGCUCCCCAAGUGCCGACAGCAGCCGAUGGGAGGAGCUGCUUCAUUCCAGUUAGCUUGUAAUUCCCGUUUACAGAGGGGACGCCUCCCCGGAGAGCCGCAGUGAUCUCCUCCCCACAGAGCGGACAGGCCUGGGUCCUGCUCCACACCUGGCCGGCCGGGCGACCUGGGCAGCCAGUGCCUCUCUCUGAGCCCCAGGUUCCCAUGUGUACAAUAGGAAAACAUCAGUUUCAAGGUUGACAUGAGGGUUAAAUGAGAUGAUGUGCAGAAAGUGCUCAGCAAGGACCAGGUACACAGGAAGCGCUCAGUAGAUAUGAAAUAGUGUGUUGGGUAACAGUUGUAAAGUAAUUUAAAAAAUAAUCCCUUUAAUCGCUCCCCUUUCUUCUGAGGAAGAGCUGAGGCUCAGAGAGGGGAAGUGACUUGCCCAAGGUCACCAGCCAAGUGAAGGAGCUGAGAUUUGAACCCCGUGAGGUCUGAGGCCAGCGCCUACUCCUGGCCCUCUGUGCCACCUUGUCAGCUCAGCCCUGGAUGGCCUGUUUGGGACUCAACCCUGUGGGUCAAGAAGAUGACUGUGGCCUGGCCUGAUAUGCCUCUGGCUUGGCAUCGGCCACGCUCACUUGUUGGGGAGGUUGCAAAACCCCAUUCCCUUCACCAGUCGAUAAAGGGUGCCCAUUGCAAAACACAGCGGAGAAAUUAUUAAGUGUUGUGUCAUCCUGUGGCCAGGCCCUGGGUGCCCCUUUCCUGCCCGGAGGCCUGGGUGGGGCCAACUCCUCGCUCUCUCCCUCCAUUGCCCUGACCUGAGAGAAGCUGGGGUGGGGGUCAGCCGGGGCCUCCGGGGAGUGGGCAGAAGACAGACCUGGCACGGGGUCCACUCAUCGCCCUCCAUUCUCAGGAAAUGGCAGCUUCAUCCUUCCAGGCGCUCUGGCCCAAAGCUGGGAGUGGGGGGGAGGGGGGAGGUCACUGGAUUCUCUUUCCCCACAUCCAAUAAUAGGUCAGGAAGUCCUAUCAGUUCUACCUUCAAAAUACAUCCGGAGCCCACCGGGUCUCCCCCUCUGCUUCCACACCUGGAUUCAAAGCACACCCGCUGGUCUCCCCGCUCCCCGCUUCACUCCUCACAGGCCAUUCUCCACACGUAGCCAAAGGGAUCCUGUUAGAUCCAGGUGGAUCUUAGGUCGGAUCCUGUCCCUCUGCUUCAAACCCUCCGUGGCUCCAUCUCAGAGCACAAGCCAAAGUCUUUUCGAGGGCCACAGGUCCCUGCCUCAUCUGGCCCCAUUGACUUUCUGACCUCAUCUCUCCCAUUCUCUCUCCCUUGCUCACUUAACUCCAGCCACACGGUCUUCCUCCAACAUACCAGGCACGAUCUACCCCAGGGCCUUUGCACUUGCUGUUCCUGCUGCCCAGAAUGCUCUUCCCACAGCUCUUACAUACAGUUGGAUCCCUUACUUUAUUCAGAUCUCAUCUCAAGGUCGCUGCCUCAGGGAACCCUUCCCUGGUUACCCAGCUAAAGUGCCACUGCCACCGUCACCCCCAGCACUGUAAUCUUUCUUCCUGACUUGCCAUCAUAGUAUACACUUAUUUGUUUGUUAAAUGUCUGUCUCCUUUCUUAGAAUGUCCCCUUCCUCAGGACAUUCAAGAUGCUCCCUUAGCACCCAGCCUGGGCCUGGCACUCAGCAGGUGCUCCACAACGAUUUGCUGAAUCAGUGAAUGGGUGGGCAGCAGGGGUGACAUGGCCUACAUCAUGCCUCAGCCAACCUCAUAUUAUAGCCCCCGUUUCUCCAGCCGAUGGCUCGAGGAUGGUGCCCACAUCACACUUUGUCCUCCUCAGACUGCAGUUGGAGGGGGCUUCGCUGGCUACCCUGUUGAGUGGCCCCCUGGCCACCCAAAUCCCAUCCAGACCCCGUACCCAGCUCCCUGGCAGCACUCACUGUGAGCCUGACUUGUUUUGUUUAUUCCCAUAUUUAUAGUCAGUCAGGCUCUC